UACGAAGGGGGCUGAGCAGUUGCUCGGAAUCACUGGGCGUAAAGGGCGCGUAGGCGGCUAGUUAGUCAGGCGUGAAAUUCCUGGGCUCAACCUGGGGACUGCGCUUGAAUACGGCUAGGCUAGAGGAUGGAAGAGGGUCGCGGAAUUCCCAGUGUAGAGGUAGAAAUUCGUAGAUAUUGGGAAGAACACCGGUGGCGAAGGCGGCGACCUGGUCCAUUACUGACGCUGAGGCGCGACAGCGGUGGGGAGCAAACAGG
This 257-nucleotide ribosomal RNA is filed under the name uncultured bacterium. RNAcentral's name for it is "partial 16S ribosomal RNA". It matches the Rfam family "Bacterial small subunit ribosomal RNA", at positions 524 to 776 of the family's 1533-position model. The record is from RNAcentral.